GAUGAACGCUGGCGGCGUGCCUAAUACAUGCAAGUCGAACGAAACUUCUUUAUCACCGAGUGCUUGCACUCACCGAUAAAGAGUUGAGUGGCGAACGGGUGAGUAACACGUGGGCAACCUGCCCAGAAGAGGGGGAUAACACUUGGAAACAGGUGCUAAUACCGCAUAACCAUAGUUACCGCAUGGUAACUAUGUAAAAGGUGGCUAUACUACCGCUUUUGGAUGGGCCCGCGGCGCAUUAGCUAGUUGGUAGGGUAAAGGCUUACCAAGGCAAUGAUGCGUAGCCGAAUUGAGAGGUUGAUCGGCCACAUUGGGACUGAGACACGGCCCAAACUCCUACGGGAGGCAGCAGUAGGGAAUCUUCCACAAUGGGCGAAAGCCUGAUGGAGCAACGCCGCGUGGGUGAAGAAGGUCUUCGGAUCGUAAAACCCUGUUGUUAGAGAAGAAAGUGCGUGAGAGUAACUGUUCACGUUUCGACGGUAUCUAACCAGAAAGCCACGGCUAACUACGUG
This 512-nucleotide ribosomal RNA is filed under the name uncultured bacterium. RNAcentral's name for it is "partial 16S ribosomal RNA". It matches the Rfam family "Bacterial small subunit ribosomal RNA", at positions 28 to 507 of the family's 1533-position model. The record is from RNAcentral.